UACGUAGGUGGCAAGCGUUGUUCGGAAUUACUGGGCGUAAAGGGCGCGUAGGCGGUACGACAAGUCAGGAGUGAAAGCCCGGGGCUCAACCCCGGAACUGCUUUUGAAACUGUCGAACUAGAGUGCAGAAGAGGCAACCGGAAUUCCCAGUGUAGCGGUGAAAUGCGUAGAUAUUGGGAAGAACACCUGAGGCGAAGGCGGGUUGCUGGGCUGACACUGACGCUGAGGCGCGAAAGCCAGGGGAGCGAACGGG
This 253-nucleotide ribosomal RNA is filed under the name uncultured bacterium. RNAcentral describes it as "partial 16S ribosomal RNA". It matches the Rfam family "Bacterial small subunit ribosomal RNA", at positions 524 to 776 of the family's 1533-position model. The record is from RNAcentral.